UAUUUAUUUAUAUUUAUAAGAAAUAACUUUUAUCUUAGUAUAUUUUUUAGAAGAGAUGUUUUUUUAUUUAUAGUUUAGUUUUUCUGUAAAGUUGUAUUAUUAAUAGAUUCAUUAAAGUAAAGUUUAAUUCUUGUACCUUUUGUAUCAGGGUUUAUUAAAUAUUUAAUAACUAUAGUUAUAUAUCCCGAAAUUAGGAGAGAUACAUUAAUAUUGAUGAUUAUUGUAUUAAAAUUAUUAUUAAAUAUAAUGUAGGGGUUAUAUGCCAUUCAAUUCUAAAUAUCUGGUUGUCUAAUAAAUGAAUUAAAUUCAGGAUUAGUGUUUGUUAUAGUAAAAUUUUAUUUUAUAUAUUUUGCAUUAAUCUAAUACUAUUGGGGAUUAGCUUUUUAGUAUUUCUAUAAUUAAAUAUUAGUGUAAAAUUAUUUAGGUUUAAAAACGACCAUUAUUUUAUUUCGUUAUAGUUAAUUUUUAUUCUUGAUUUAUUUAUAUUUAAUUUAGAUUUUUAUUAGAGUUACUUAUUUGAAUAAUAUUUAUAAGGAGAUAAUGAUAAAAUUAGUAUAAUUUUUAGAUGUAGCAGAGUAAUUCGGCAAUUUAAAAGUUCACCUGUUUAACAAAAACAUGGCCUAUUGUUAAUAUUAUAUUAGGUCAAGCCUGCUCAGUGAUUAUUAUUAUUAAAUAGCCGCAGUAAUUUGACUGUGCGAAGGUAGCAUAAUCAUUUGUCUUUUAAUUGGAGGCUUGUAUGAAUGGUUUGAUGAAACUUUAACUUUCUUUGCUAUAAAUAUUAGAAUUUAAUGUUUGAGUUAAAAAGCUUAGAUAUUUCCAUAGGACGAGAAGACCCUAUAGAGUUUUACUAUAAUUAUGAUUUAUUUAAAUUAGGUAUGUAUUUUUAAAUAUUUACUUUUUAUAUUUAUGUUGGGGUGACAGAGAAAUUAAUAUAACUUUCUUUAUUUAUAUUGUUAUUGAUGUUUAUAUUAUUGAUCCUUUAUUAUGGAUAAUAAGAUUAAAUUACCUUAGGGAUAACAGCGUAAUUCCUUUGGAGAGUUCAUAUCGAUAAAGGAGUUUGCGACCUCGAUGUUGGAUUAAAAUAUGUAUUAAGUGCAGAAGCUUAAUUACUAGGUCUGUUCGACCUAUAAUAUUUUACAUGAUCUGAGUUCAGACCGGCGUGAGCCAGGUUGGUUUCUAUCCUUGGAUCUUGUUUCUUUGUCUUAGUACGAAAGGACCAGGCAGGGUAUUUAUAAUAAUAAUUUAUCUGAUUAUUAAUAAGAUAUAUUUAA
RNAcentral lists this ribosomal RNA (1271 nucleotides) under Macroscytus japonensis. RNAcentral describes it as "16S ribosomal RNA". The stretch from base 817 to 1186 matches the Rfam family "Bacterial large subunit ribosomal RNA", at positions 2073 to 2647 of the family's 2925-position model. The record is from RNAcentral. Lineage: Eukaryota; Metazoa; Arthropoda; Insecta; Hemiptera; Cydnidae.